Molecule: ribosomal RNA, 327 nt
Filed under: uncultured eukaryote
Lineage: Eukaryota
Description: partial 18S ribosomal RNA
Rfam family: Eukaryotic small subunit ribosomal RNA
Source: RNAcentral
CCCUUAGAUGUUCUGGGCCGCACACGCGCUACACUGAAGGAGGCAGCGUGUACUCCUGGAUCGAAAGAUUUGGGUAACCCGCGAAUCUCCUUCGUGCUAGGGAUUGAGGUUUGCAAUUAUCCUUCAUGAACGAGGAAUUCCCAGUAAGUGCAAGUCAUAAGCUUGCGCUGACUACGUCCCUGCCCUUUGUACACACCGCCCGUCGCUACUACCGAUUGAAUGAUUUAGUGAGGACUUCAGACUGGGACCGAUGCGGCUUUCGGGCUGCGUCGGUAUUCUGGAAAGAUGUCCAAACUGUAUCAUUUAGAGGAAGUAAAAGUCGUAACA